RNAcentral lists this long non-coding RNA (1252 nucleotides) under Camponotus floridanus (Florida carpenter ant). RNAcentral describes it as "uncharacterized LOC105258376, transcript variant X1". The record is from RNAcentral. Lineage: Eukaryota; Metazoa; Arthropoda; Insecta; Hymenoptera; Formicidae.
UUCGUUAAUGUUCACUUGCCUCGGUUAAAGAUAAACUCCCGAUUCUGAGCGUUUAAGCAAUUUAACCGAGGUUUACGACCAUAGCGCCGCUGGAAUUGUUUUGAAAAUUUCGCAUUUAAUAUAACAUAUUCUGUUUUGAGGUUAUGUAUUAUCGUAUUGAAUUGAGGAAAGAAGUAUUGCAUCUUAUAUAUCGGAAAGUAUUCUCAAGAUUCAUUGAAAUUUCACAAUCAGUUUAUAUAUAAUAUGGCUUUUGCACAAAUAUUAUCGUCAUUAGAUGAUGAAGGUUUUGCUGAUGUUAUUAAUCGAAGACCACGCAAUAUUAGAAGACGACCUGAUUAUUUUAAUGAAUUGGACAAUGUAGAUUUUCAUGCUCGAUUCCGAUUAUCAAAAGAAUGCGUUACUGAAGUGUUGGAAGCUAUUGAACCCGAAAUUUCACAUCCGACACAACAAUAAAUAACUUCGUAGUAUUAUAACUAAUUCUCCUCCUGACGUUAAGAUUUUACGCUACUGGCAGCCACUUAAUAUCGGCAGGUGAUUUUUCUGGAGUUAGCAAAACGAGUGCUCACAAAAUUGUCCAUUGCGUAACGAAUUCUAUAACUCGUCUUCGGCCAAGGUGGAAAUGAUGCAGAAUACUUCAGAAAUCGAAAAGGUUACUUUUCGAUUAAUGUCCAAGCAAUUUGUAAUGCUAAUUUGGAAAUAACGAACCUUGUAGCUCGUUGGCAAGGAUCUGUGCAUGACUCUAUUUAAGACUGGAAUAUUUGGAGAUGCCUUGCUCUUAGGUGAUGGAGCUUAUCCAGUUCAGUCUUAUUUAAUAACACCUCUAUGCAAUACAGAAACUCGUGCUCAGGAACUCUAUUAUGAGUCGCUUAUUAGAACACGCAAUAUCAUUGAGCGCGUGUUUGGUAUAUGGAAAAGACGAUUUCCAAUUUUAGCAUUGGGUUCUCGAUUUUCUAAAGUCCAAAGAGUAUUGCCAGUUAUUGUGGCAACUGCCAUAUUACAUAACAUUGCCCGGCGUGCUGGCGAUCCGAUACCACCAGAUGAUCCGCUACAGUUGCCUGUACCAUGGGCAGAAAUUUUAGAAAAGGGAAAUAUACCACUUAUGAAUGAUACAUCUGGUAAUAAUCAUAUGCAGAACAUACUAAUCAAUGAUUAUUUUCGCAGCUUGCUGUAGAAUAAUCUUUACUGUGAAAAAAGUUGAAGAAUAUUAUGUAUAUAGCAGUGCAUGUUUAUAUAGAAUUUGUCUAAAAAGGAG